UCUGGCUCGGCUCUGCGGUCACACGGGUGGAUUCCCGCGGGUGGCGGGUUUAGGUCACGUGACGCGCGCAAGAUGGCGGCUCCCGGGGACGGUGCUGAUCUGGAAGCCUCGCUGCUGAGUUUCGAGAAGCUUGACCGGGCUUCUCCGGACCUGUGGCCUGAGCAGUUGCCCGGCGUCGCCGAGUUCGCCGCCUCCUUCAAAAGCCCUAUUACAAGCUCGCCUCCCAAAUGGAUGGCUGAACUGGAAAAUGAUGAUAUCGAUAUGUUAAAGGAGCUGGGAAGCCUCACUACAGCUAACCUGAUGGAGAAGGUUCGUGGCCUGCAGAACUUGGCUUAUCAGCUGGGACUGGAUGAAUUGCCGGCUGAGACAAAGGAAUAAUGCAAUUCACAUUGCUACAACUUGGGGAAGCUGUGAAGAGAGAGCUGAAUGACCAAGGAGGAAAGCUUGGAAAUGACAUGGCUAGAGAAAUGACUCGAGGGAAGUUCCUGAACAUCUUAGAGAAACCCAAGAAGUAACUACAGCAUCUGAAGCUGGGACAAUAAAGUAUCCUGACUGGAUCAUAUUACGUACUGUGGAUCCAGAUGAACCCCAAAACUUCUAAGAAGUACAAAGCUCUUGCUGUAGACCCUCAGAAGCAAGCACCUCUUUUACUUCCACAGCUCUUCUCUUUGCAGGAGAGACAUACUGCAUACACAGGUUACUAGGACUGUGAUUAGGUGCAUUGGAAUUCAGACUUCUUCCUGCCUUAAGAUACCCAAAUGGAAGGAUUUGACCCUGAUAUGCAACAGCAAGGUCACCUGAUUGGUUGGUUGUUUUUUUUUUUAGUCAGCUAUUCAAAGUGUGCCCCCAUGGUGACCUCACUGGAUUGUUUUCGAGUGGCAGCACCAGUGUAAAGUACACAGCAGCUCUUCAUAAAACUGGCAGCAUGCAUCCUGUUGCACUGGCCUUCGUGUGUCUUGUAUGUGCAUUGGUUUCCUACACACAAAUUCUGUGUUGAAUGACUGGACAACAGUUUGGGGUGCAGUCUGAGAUAGAUAGCAGUGGUUCUGCAGAACAUUUGCUUUUAGUGUAGAAAUUGAGUGCAGUCUGCAUUAGAUUCCAGUUGAUCUCUGCCUUCAGAGAAAUGUGCCCACUACAAAGAGGAUCUUCAGUCUGUUGGUCCUUUCACUUCCCAUGGCUUGUAUCAACUAUUGUGUGUACUGAGAGCUUAGAGUGCUACAGUUUUCUAGUGAAAUCUAGACUGACAGACCUAGGGGCUAUGAAGUGUUACCAUGAAGGAAAUAGUUGCCAUAGUAAGCUCAGCGUAUACACAAAGAAACAGCUUUGUCUGCUCAGCAAUUCUCAAUUUGCUUCCUACAGAGCUAGAAACAGAGUAGAUAUAUAAGGUUGAAAGGCAGUAAUGUUUCAAUGCUCCAGAAAUGGGCAGACUUGUGAGCCCCAUUGUGAGGAUACUCUGCUUAAAUGGAGUCUUCACACUUCUAAAAGUAUCACUUCUUGGUACUUUCAUUACUUGGAAAACUGGGAUCUCAAAAUUAGGUUCACCUGCAGAAAUAAAAUUCUGAAGGGAGAAUUUUCUUAACACACAGUUCUGGACUUUACUCAUUUUACAGUUUAAUGCAUUUUCUUUCUGUUAAUGCACUUCUGCAUGUUCAUGUAACUAAGAAGUUAAGGAGCAUGUUUGGAUUUUGUUUACAAGGACUUCUUUUUAAUCCUAUUUUUCUAGGAAAUAAUAGUUUAAGUGUUAGUAACUGUGAUCUUUCUAGGGUAAAACAUAGUGUUAAAACAUCGGAUAAAGAAUAGGGUUUUUUUUCCAUUUAAAAAUGUUACUUUUAGCAUCCAUGCUUUUUAGAGUCUGUCAUUUUCCCAGACUGAUGAUCACAUGUGAGAGGAGAAAGGUCUUGGAAAUAGUACCUGUGCCUUGUCAUUAACAGGUUGUCUUUAGAGCAUUGCAUAUGUCUGUCUUUGCAGAGAGAGACUGUUUUCAGUUAUGUAUGUGUGUGAUAAAAGAUUUUUAGUCAAAUAGACUCCUCUGAAUUUUUUCUUAAGGUGACUGUGGUAUUUUAGCUUGCUGUCUAUGGUCGUGGUUGUUAUCAGUGAAAACCAGGCUUGUUUUGGACAGCUCUAGUUAUCUAAAUUUAAGCAGUUAAAUAACAAAUCCCAGGAAGGUCAUGCACAAAUACUGAAUAUUUAGGAAUUUCAGGAGCGUGGUUUCAAACUUAGUGGAUUUACUUCCCUACUUUGGUUUACAUAGUACCAUGCUUAACAGGAACUCCAUCCCUUGAGGACAUGAGAGAUAAGACAUCGGAGUGAGAAGGUAAGAAUGAUGGUCCAGAGACAAAAGCUGCUGAUGCAAGCCGAUGUUAAUGUAGUUUUAAAAAUUAUACAUUUAAAAUGCAAUUAUAAGUUUGUAUACUACAUAUAGUAUGUAUACACACCACAUAAUGGGAUACUUGGUCUGUAUGACUAAUACAAGUUUGUGCAUUUCAUACAGGUUUGUUGAUCCAACACAUUAAGAAAUUGAGAUCUAAAAGGAGGAGGAAUGUAGGAGAAGAUAUCAAUGCCUGUUUGUUUUCUAAUGUGUCCAGUAAGAAAUUUCAGGCUUUUAGUAGUUCUUAGUAACGUACAUGUCUUUUAAGAACAAAUAGAAAACCUUAACCAUACAGUACUUAUUGUCUAUAGGGCAGCAAAUAAUAUGUGCCUUAGAACUGUAUUUAUUGGCUUUGUACUUUGUCAUCUGUAGAGAUCAGCCAGUGCUGCGUAUUUUUAUUGGUAAUACAUAUACAUAUUUUGUAUGAUAGCUGGAGAAUUGUAAUCUGUUACUGCUCUGUAAUCUGAUAACAAACAAAUAUAGAGCUCAAAGAGUAGCCUGAGUUUCCAGAAGAGCCCUCUGGAAUGCAAAAGCUGUUGGCUUAGUCACCUGGGCAGUGCUCUUUCUUAGGCUCUUCUUAACUGUUAAGUUGAUAGACACUUUGCUCAUCACCACUUCAGUUUUCAACCUGUGACUACUUCAUUCCUGUCAGUAAGUAAAUAGUUGGCAAUAUCCAGAUGGUACUGGAAAUUUUCAUACCCUCUUGAACCACCAUUUUUCCCUCUUCAGUGAUGUCCUUCCCAACAUCACUGCAGCAUCUAUCUAUAUAAUAACAUCUGGGUGACUUUAUAUUGCUGGUAAAUUUCUAUAUUUUAAAACAACAACAACAAAUUUUGAUAAAUGAUGUGAAUGAAGAGUACAAUAAGAUCACAAUUCAGUAAUACUAUUUGAGCUUUUGAGCUUGUGCAGUGCUUUAUGAAGUAUUUUCAUGCAUUGGUAUGUUAGAUGUUACUGUCAGAUUCUUGGAAAUGAAACCUAUGGUUUUAGUUCCUUUUAAAUGCUGUUGUUGUAUUAAAUGCGUAGUUGUAAAGGCUGUUCACUUCAUUUUUGGAGUGUCCAGUGCUUUAGAGUUUAAUCCAACUCAGAAUAAAAUCUUGUUCUAUUAAUUGA
This is an RNA transcript of Phasianus colchicus (ring-necked pheasant), 3478 nucleotides long. It is a transcript of the gene named lin-52 DREAM MuvB core complex component, with no coding region annotated. The record is from RefSeq and is a predicted model, not a curated record. Lineage: Eukaryota; Metazoa; Chordata; Aves; Galliformes; Phasianidae.